UACGUAGGGAGCAAGCGUUGUCCGGAAUCAUUGGGCGUAAAGCGCGCGUAGGUGGCUUCGUAAGUCCGUUGUGAAAGUCAAAGGCUCAACCUUUGAAAGCCGAUGGAUACUGCGGAGCUAGAGUACGGAAGAGGCGAGUGGAAUUCCUGGUGUAGCGGUGGAAUGCGCAGAUAUCGAGGAGGAACACCAAUAGCGAAGGCAGCUCGCUGGGACGUUACUGACACUGAGGCGCGAAAGCGUGGGGAGCGAACAGG
RNAcentral lists this ribosomal RNA (254 nucleotides) under uncultured bacterium. RNAcentral describes it as "partial 16S ribosomal RNA". It matches the Rfam family "Bacterial small subunit ribosomal RNA", at positions 524 to 776 of the family's 1533-position model. The record is from RNAcentral.